UUACCAGGAAUGUCCAAUGCACAAGGCUCCUCUAUGUCUUUCAUGACCAACAAAAGAAAUUAUAGUAGAAUGGAACAAUCAUCGCAUUACCUGACAGACAUCCGUGCCAACAUUCGAAAUCAUUGGCUACAAGCUGAGACUACACAAAUGGCCAAAAGAAGGAACUAUACUAGAAUGCGAGAACCACCGUCCUGGAUGACAGAGGGUCUUCCCAGCUUUGUAGAAUCUGAACCACCCUCAUCGCAUUACCUGACAGACAUCCGUGCCAACAUUCAAAAUCAUUGGCUACAAGCGGAGACUACACAAAUGGCCGAAAGAAGGAACUAUACUAGAAUGCGAGAACCACCGUCCUGAGGGUCUUCCCAGCUUUGUAAAAUCUGAACCACCCCAGGCUACUACACAAAUGGCGUUAGAUGAAGUUUCGAAGGUUGAAGGCCUCAAUGACACUCAAAUCUUAAGGGCAGUGGAUCUUUUGAUGAAUGAGCAAAGGAAGUUUGAUACAUUUUCUGGACUUCCUAACAGAUUGAGGAGAACUUGGCUUCAAAUGCAUCUUGGGGAUCAGUUCUAGUCACAUCCAG
Molecule: long non-coding RNA, 578 nt
Filed under: Panax ginseng (ginseng)
Lineage: Eukaryota; Viridiplantae; Streptophyta; Magnoliopsida; Apiales; Araliaceae
Description: long non-coding RNA (PGIN_LNC008555)
Source: RNAcentral